RNAcentral lists this ribosomal RNA (484 nucleotides) under uncultured bacterium. RNAcentral's name for it is "partial 16S ribosomal RNA". It matches the Rfam family "Bacterial small subunit ribosomal RNA", at positions 29 to 507 of the family's 1533-position model. The record is from RNAcentral.
AUUGAACGCUGGCGGAAUGCUUUACACAUGCAAGUCGAGCGGCAGCGCGGCCUUCGGGCUGGCGGCGAGCGGCGAACGGGUGAGUAAUGCAUCGGAACAUGCCCAGUCGUGGGGGAUAACACUUCGAAAGAAGUGCUAAUACCGCAUACGUCCUGAGGGGGAAAGCGGGGGAUCGCAAGACCUCGCGCGAUUGGAGUGGCCGAUGUCAGAUUAGCUAGUUGGUGGGGUAAAGGCCUACCAAGGCGACGAUCUGUAGCUGGUCUGAGAGGAUGAUCAGCCACACUGGGACUGGGACACGGCCCAGACUCCUACGGGAGGCAGCAGUGGGGAAUUUUGGACAAAGGGGGCAACCCUGAUCCAGCCAUUCCGCGUGAGUGAAGAAGGCCUUCGGGUUGUAAAGCUCUUUCGGCAGGAACGAAACGGUGGGCUCUAACAUAGUCCGCUAAUGACGGUACCUGAAGAAGAAGCACCGGCUAACUACGUG